GCUUAGAUAGUUUAACUAAAGCGCCGGCCUUGUAAGCCGGAAAUAGGGACAUAAUGUCCCUUCUAAGUU
Molecule: transfer RNA, 69 nt
Filed under: Boulengerula boulengeri (Usambara bluish-gray caecilian)
Lineage: Eukaryota; Metazoa; Chordata; Amphibia; Gymnophiona; Herpelidae
Description: tRNA-Thr
Rfam family: tRNA
About the family: Transfer RNA (tRNA) molecules are approximately 80 nucleotides in length. Their secondary structure includes four short double-helical elements and three loops (D, anti-codon, and T loops).
Source: RNAcentral